GGCCUGCUCACUGAUUAUAUUUAAAUAGCCGCGGUAUUUUGACCGGGCAAAGGUAGCAUAAUCAUUAGUUUCUUAAUAAAAUGCUGGAAAAAAUAUUUUAACGAGAAAUUAACUGUCUCUUAAUAAAUUAUAAAAUUUAACUUUUAAGUUAAAAGGCUUAAUUUUACCUUAAGGACGAGAAGACCCUAUAGAGCUUUACAUUUUAUUUUAUAUAUAUUUUUUGAUUUUUUAUAUAUAUAUAAAUGUUAAUGUUUUGUUGGGGUGAUAUGGAGAAUAAUAAAACUCUCUAUUAUAAAAUCAUUGAUUUAUGUUUAUAUGAUCCAUAAUUUUAUGAUCAAAAGAUUAAGUUACCUUAGGGAUAACAGCGUAAUUAUUUUUGAGAGUUCAUAUCGACAAAGUAGAUUGCGACCUCGAUGUUGGAUUAAGAAAAAUUUUAGGUGAAGAAGCCUAAUAAUUAGGUCUGUUCGACCUUUAAAUUCUU
Molecule: ribosomal RNA, 481 nt
Filed under: Lentula obtusa
Lineage: Eukaryota; Metazoa; Arthropoda; Insecta; Orthoptera; Lentulidae
Description: partial 16S ribosomal RNA
Rfam family: Bacterial large subunit ribosomal RNA
Source: RNAcentral